This 63-nucleotide transfer RNA is filed under the name Hoplopleura edentula. RNAcentral describes it as "tRNA-Gly". Lineage: Eukaryota; Metazoa; Arthropoda; Insecta; Psocodea; Hoplopleuridae. The record is from RNAcentral.
GCCCUCUUAGUAUAAUAAAGUACGGCUAAUUUCCACUUAGUAAGUUCUAUGAAGAAGUGGGUA